This 493-nucleotide ribosomal RNA is filed under the name uncultured bacterium. RNAcentral's name for it is "bacterial SSU rRNA". It matches the Rfam family "Bacterial small subunit ribosomal RNA", at positions 15 to 507 of the family's 1533-position model. The record is from RNAcentral.
GAUCAUGGCUCAGGAUGAACGCUAGCGGCAGGCUUAACACAUGCAAGUCGAGGGGUAGAGGAAGCUUGCUUCCUUGAGACCGGCGCACGGGUGCGUAACGCGUAUGCAACCUACCUUUUACAGAGGGAUAGCCCAGAGAAAUUUGGAUUAAUACCUCAUGGUAUAUAUUAUUCGCAUGUUUGAUAUAUUAAAGUUCCAACGGUAAAAGAUGGGCAUGCGUCCUAUUAGCUAGAUGGUAAGGUAACGGCUUACCAUGGCAACGAUAGGUAGGGGUCCUGAGAGGGAGAUCCCCCACACUGGUACUGAGACACGGACCAAACUCCUACGGGAGGCAGCAGUGAGGAAUAUUGGACAAUGGUCGGAAGACUGAUCCAGCCAUGCCGCGUGAAGGAUGAAGGCGCUCAGCGUUGUAAACUUCUUUUGUACGGGAACAAAAUGCGACCUGCGGGUUGUACUGAGGGUACCGUAAGAAUAAGCACCGGCUAACUCCGUG